CUCUCUCUCUCUCUCUCUCAAAAUUCCCAUAUAUCACCAUCAUUAUUUGUUCAUCCUCUUUUCACAGAUUAAAAACAAUCUCACUCACCUUCUUGUUAUUAAUCCACUUGUAGGUUUAAAUCCCAUAUGUUUUCCCCAGUGAAAAGUCCAAAAAUUCUCUUAAAGAACCAAUAUCAUCUUUGUCUUGUUCUCUUCAGAUGAUAAAUAUUUUUCUAAUCCGCCCUGAAGUGCAUGUUACCUUUUCUGGAUUCUCUUUGUGUGGGCAAUGAUUUCUGUUUCCUUUCUACUUUCUACUAUCAUCUAGCUGAUAUUUUCUAUUGAAAGGUUUUUUGUUUCUCGUUAAAUUUGCAUUUCCCAUGUGGUUCUUUUAUCAUUCUUCUGCAUUUUCUGUGUCAGAGUUUUGAUGGGUUGUGCUGCAGGUGGUUCCGCUUUAGCGGCUUGAGUUAAUAAUAUUAAAGAGUUCUGUUCUGUUGGUCUUCCUGGGUAGGCCUUUCAACUGCUUUUCUUUAUUUUUCCAUGUUGCUCUUCCCUUCUUUUUCCAAUUUUAACUCUUCCUGAAUUUGUUAAUAGUUAAAAUUGCUUGAUGCUUUACUUGUUCUAAUUUUGUUCGAAGGUCCUGGAAUGUUUUCUUCAUUUCAAUAGGUUCUUUCGUAUAGAUAUUUAUUGGGGUUGUUGGAAUUUUCCAUUCUUUUCUUUGAAGUAAGUUUCCAGUUUUGCUUUCUAUGAACGCUCGGGACCUGUUCAGUCUUUAGCUUGUAGUGUUCUUGCUUCUAUUGUCAUUUUUAGUUGGUAUUGAAUUGUGUCUUCUAAGGGCUUUGAUCAACUUCCCUAAAUUUGUUCUUUUGCCUAAUCAUAUUUCAGUAAUCUCUUGUUCUUCAUUGUCAUAAUGCGUCCCACUUAUUUCCCUCUUCGAUGGGAGAGUACUGGAGACCAGUGGUGGUAUGCUUCUCCCAUUGAUUGGGCAGCUGCUAAUGGCCACUAUGACUUGGUCAGGGAGCUCCUUCGCAUUGACAACAAUCACCUUAUCAAGCUCACCUCUCUCAGGCGAAUUCGACGCCUUGAGACUGUGUGGGAUGAUGAGGAACAGUUUGAUGAUGUUGCCAAAUGUCGCUCUCAAGUUGCCAGAAAACUUUUUCAUGAGUGUGAAUCCAAGAAAGGUAAAAAUUCUCUCAUCCAAGCCGGCUAUGGUGGAUGGCUUAUCUACACUGCUGCUUCAGCUGGAGACUUGAGUUUUGUUCAGGAGCUUCUUGAAAAGAACCCUCUACUUGUUUUUGGUGAAGGAGAAUACGGUGUUACAGAUAUACUCUAUGCUGCUGCCAGAAGCAAGAGUAGUGAAGUUUUCAGGAUUGUUUAUGAUUUUGCUGUUUCUCCAAGGUUUUUGACAGCAAAAGGUGGAGAGUUUGAGGAGCACAUAGGGGAUAUUCCUUCUCUGUACAAGUGGGAGAUGAUCAAUAGGGCUGUUCAUGCUGCUGCAAGAGGUGGGAAUUCAAACAUUUUGAGGGAGCUUCUCAGUAAUUGCACUGAUGUCUUGGCUUAUAGAGAUAAGGAAGGCGCAACUAUUUUACAUGCUGCUGCUGCCAGAGGGCAGGUCGAGGUAGUUAAAGAUCUUAUAGCCUCCUUUGAUAUCAUCAAUUCAACAGACCAUCUAGGCAACACAGCGUUGCAUAUUGCUGCUUAUAGGGGUCAAUUAUCUGUGGUAGAAGCUCUGAUUGCUGCGUCUCCCUCAUUGAUCUCUUUAACAAACAAUGCUGGAGAAACCUUUCUUCAUAUGGCUGUGUCCGGAUUCCAAACUCCUGCCUUUAAAAGAUUGGACCGGCAGAUUGAGCUUAUGAAGCAGUUGGUUUGUGGGAAAUUUUUCAAUGUGGAAGACAUCAUCAAUGCCAAAAGUAAUGAUGGAAGGACUGCACUCCACACAGCCAUCAUUGGGAAUGUUCACUCUGAUCUUGUGCAGCUCCUGAUGUCUGCUCAUUCAAUAAAUGUCAAUGUCCAUGAUGCAGAUGGGAUGACCCCUCUUGAUCUUCUUAAGCAACGGCCACAUUCUGCAUCAUCAGAUGUACUGAUUAGGCAACUGAUUUCAGCAGGUGGGAUAUUUGGUUGCCAGGAUUAUUCUGCAAGAAAAGCCAUUGCCUCUCGUUUGAAGAUGCAAGGUAAUGGAGUCAGUCCUGGAACAUCAUUCAGAAUCUCCGAUGCAGAAAUAUUCUUGUAUACAGGUAUUGAGAUUGCUUCUGAUGCUGAUCCAGCUUAUGAAGAAAGGAGUUCAUAUUCAACUGAACAUAUUGACUCAACCAAUGAGAACCAGAGCUCAACAAUUAAUAGGAAGUUAGGUUCUGUUAGUAGCGCAGCACAACAGUUGAAAAGAGUCCUCCAUUGGCCCCGUCUGAAAGGGGAAAAACCGGAAAGAUUCAAGAAAUCAGUGGAUCAAGUUUCUUUGGAAUCAUGCAAGAAAUGCAAUUGUCCAGGGGAAACUCCAACCCCACUUCGCCAGAAAUUCACGAAGCCCUCAUCCCUUCCUAACAACAAGAGGACACUUUCCGUUAGGAGUAAUCAAUCAAGUCCAACAGCCAAGAAGAAAUUUGCUUCAGGCAUAAUGCAUGGUGUUAUGCAGGCUAUGCCACAAUUAACUGUUCCAGGUCGAUCACGCUCAAGUUCAUUUUCAAAAUCAUCCACAUCUUCUCCUACUUCGUUGGAUAAACAAAAAGGGGUAUUUAUUGACAAUGAUGUAGCUGGGCCAUCAUCUUCCAAUCAAUCAUUUGAUGAUGGAACACCAAAUGUGAUUGGGAAAGAAGGCUCCACGAUGAAUAAGAAGUUGAGGAACCAAUACUUCUGUUUUGGUGCAUCUGGCCUUUCUGUGAAAACCCCAGUUAGCAGGCCGCGGCAAAGCCAUAGUUCAAAUCCUUCUGUUCUCUCAGCAGCUUGAUGAGAAAAGCUAUUGUCUUGCAGUGAUUCAGGUGUCAAAGAAAGGAGGGAGUCCAAAGCUGAGAGCCCAGACGGAAGCAAGCAGCAGAUUGUCUAACUUAGACGAAGAUUAACAAGUUCUCUUAGCUGUUUCCUGCAUGUCUUUUCCUUUGUAGAAUGUUGUCUUGUUUAAUUUGAGUAGGCCAAGUAAUCGUACUCAAAACUUUCUCUGAAGUACAUCUUGUGCUUUUAUGUUGUGGAAAGUAGUGAAGAAAUGUAAUAUUCUGAACGGUUAAGCAUUUAGUUUUCUUAUUUCUUUCAGCUAGGAAAGCAAAAUCGAUCAGCAAGUUAUCUUCUAGUUUGCAAGCAAGAAAGAAGCAGCAACAUGCUUCAGUUGGCUGUAAUAACUAGAUGAAGGCUCUUUGAUAAGCGGCUCUUUGAUAAAUGCUUGCUUGGUUAAAACCUCUGAAGUGCUCUUUUUCUGAACAUUGGCAGGCUGUCAAGCAGAUUAUGUAUCAACGGCGAAUGGACUAGAAUUUUGAUCUGAACUUGCAAAUCACAUGGGCCUGCCUAACUGUUUGGACUGUUGGCCCUUUUAAGGCCAGGCCCUUGUCUGUUCCUCCAA
Molecule: unclassified non-coding RNA, 3520 nt
Filed under: Hevea brasiliensis (rubber tree)
Lineage: Eukaryota; Viridiplantae; Streptophyta; Magnoliopsida; Malpighiales; Euphorbiaceae
Source: RNAcentral